UACGGGGGGGGCAAGCGUUGUUCGGAAUUACUGGGCGUAAAGGGCUCGUAGGCGGCUGCUUAAGUCGGACGUGAAAUCCCUCGGCUCAACCGAGGAACUGCGUCCGAUACUGAGCAGCUUGAAUCCGGGAGAGGGAUGCGGAAUUCCAGGUGUAGCGGUGAAAUGCGUAGAUAUCUGGAGGAACACCGGUGGCGAAGGCGGCAUCCUGGACCGGCAUUGACGCUGAGGAGCGAAAGCCAGGGGAGCAAACGGG
Molecule: unclassified non-coding RNA, 253 nt
Filed under: uncultured Acidobacteriota bacterium
Lineage: Bacteria; Pseudomonadati; Acidobacteriota
Description: uncultured Acidobacteria bacterium contains 16S-23S intergenic spacer region
Rfam family: Bacterial small subunit ribosomal RNA
Source: RNAcentral